GGGGGGAUGGCCAAGCGGCUAAGGCGAGCGGCUGCAACCCGCUUAUUCCUGGGUUCAAGUCCCAGUCCUCCCUCCA
Molecule: transfer RNA, 76 nt
Filed under: Candidatus Woesearchaeota archaeon
Lineage: Archaea; Nanobdellati; Candidatus Woesearchaeota
Also listed under: 1 other name
Description: tRNA-Cys
Rfam family: tRNA
About the family: Transfer RNA (tRNA) molecules are approximately 80 nucleotides in length. Their secondary structure includes four short double-helical elements and three loops (D, anti-codon, and T loops).
Source: RNAcentral